GACAGAGGGUGCAAACGUUGUUCGGAAUUACUGGGCGUAAAGCGCGUGUAAGCGGCUCUGCAAGUCAGGUGUGUAAUCCCACGGCUCAACCAUGGAAGUGCACUUGAAACUGCAGGGCUAGAGUCCUGGAGAGGAAGGUGGAAUGCUUGGUGUAGAGGUGAAAUUCGUAGAUAUCAAGCGGAACACCGGUGGCGAAGGCGGCCUUCUGGACAGUGACUGACGCUGAGACGCGAAAGCGUGGGGAGCAAACAGG
RNAcentral lists this ribosomal RNA (253 nucleotides) under uncultured bacterium. RNAcentral describes it as "partial 16S ribosomal RNA". It matches the Rfam family "Bacterial small subunit ribosomal RNA", at positions 524 to 776 of the family's 1533-position model. The record is from RNAcentral.